UGGGGAAUAUUGGACAAUGGGCGAAAGCCUGAUCCAGCCAUGCCGCGUGUGUGAAGAAGGUCUUCGGAUUGUAAAGCACUUUAAGUUGGGAGGAAGGGCAGUUACCUAAUACGUGAUUGUUUUGACGUUACCGACAGAAUAAGCACCGGCUAACUCUGUGCCAGCAGCCGCGGUAAUACAGAGGGUGCAAGCGUUAAUCGGAAUUACUGGGCGUAAAGCGCGCGUAGGUGGUUAGUUAAGUUGGAUGUGAAAUCCCCGGGCUCAACCUGGGAACUGCAUUCAAAACUGACUGACUAGAGUAUGGUAGAGGGUGGUGGAAUUUCCUGUGUAGCGGUGAAAUGCGUAGAUAUAGGAAGGAACACCAGUGGCGAAGGCGACCACCUGGACUGAUACUGACACUGAGGUGCGAAAGCGUGGGGAGCAAACAGGAUUAGAUACCCCCGUAGUCCCUGAGCGGGCUGGCAAGGCG
Molecule: ribosomal RNA, 469 nt
Filed under: uncultured bacterium
Lineage: Bacteria
Description: bacterial SSU rRNA
Rfam family: Bacterial small subunit ribosomal RNA
Source: RNAcentral